Non-coding RNA from Salvia hispanica, 2224 nucleotides. The record is from RefSeq and is a predicted model, not a curated record. NCBI's taxonomy places the organism in Eukaryota, Viridiplantae, Streptophyta, Magnoliopsida, Lamiales, Lamiaceae.
GUCCCCACUUCAUUAGAUUUCUCUGCUUUUAGGUGGGUUUGACUCUGCAGCGAUAGUUGACAAUCGGUCCUGUUUUCUAUGUAUAAAUCAUGAAGUCAGUACCCGGAUUCUCUACGCAUUCGAAUUUGGUCCAAUUCAACGCAACAAGGCGGAUUUAUAGUGAUAGCCGUGAAGGGGAUGGAGAGUGUUGGAGCUGAAGCACCGAAUAUGGGAGAGAGGGAAUUCAAGUCAUGUGAUCGAGAUGGUGUCUCGCAUCUUUCUCUUGAUAUAGGAGGUUCUUUAAUAAAGAUGGUUUACUUCUCAAGUGGCAGUAGCUCCUCCUCUGAUGAUAAGAAAGACAGCUAUUUAAAGGAUGGAACUAACACAUCCAUUGGAACCUCCAAUCAUAAUGGCCUAAGAGGGAAGCUUCACUUUCUGAAGUUUGAAACAAGCAAAAUCGAUGAAUGCAUCAAGUUCAUAUCUUCUAAGCACCUUCAAAAUAAUGGUGGUCAGGGUGAUAAGGACCUUGCCAGUGAGGAAAUUAUUAUUAAGGCCACGGGUGGGGGGGCAUUUAAGUUUGCUGAUUUAUUCAAAGAAAAGCUAGGUAUUGUUCUGGACAAGGUAGAUGAAAUGAGCUGCCUUGUUGCUGGAGCCAAUUUCCUGCUUAAGGCAGUGAACCAUGAAGCAUUUACCUAUAUGGAUGACCAGAAGGACUAUGUCCAGAUCAACCACAAAGAUCUGUACCCUUAUCUCCUAGUUACUGUGGGAUCUGGAGUCAGCAUGAUCAAGGUGGAUGGCGACAACAAUUUUGAGCGAGUCAGUGGAACAAGUGUUGGUGGUGGCACAUUCUGGGGUUUGGGAAGACUUUUGACCAAGUGCCAAAGUUUUGAUGAGCUGUUAGAACUGAGUCGCCAAGGAAAUAACAGAGUGAUAGACAUGCUCGUUGGAGACAUAUAUGGUGGAACAGAUUACUCGAAGAUUGGUCUUACGUCAACGACAAUUGCUUCUAGCUUCGGUAAGGCAAUAUCUGCAAACAAAGAGCUUGAUGAUUACAGACCUGAGGAUGUAGCCAGGUCCCUACUAAGAAUGAUCUCAAACAAUAUUGGACAGAUUGCUUAUUUGAACGCAUUACGUUUUGGAUUGAAGAGGAUAUUUUUCGGAGGAUUUUUCAUUCGAGGACAUGCAUACACAAUGGACACACUUUCAGUUGCAGUUAAUUUCUGGUCGAAAGGUGAAGCAAAAGCUCUAUUUUUGCGGCACGAAGGGUUUCUUGGGGCACUGGGAGCUUUUAUGAACUACAAGAAAAAUGGAUUUACAGAUAUCACACAUCAAUUUAUGGAACAAUCCUGCGAAAUCGGACAAGAUUUGGUCUGCAAAGAUGAAGAUAUUUAGUGAUGUGUUUCUCAGCACCGACACAGUAAAGUCGAACCUAACCCCAUAGGUGUCGGUAGAAUGUAUAGCAAUUACUUGCUGCAGUGCCGAGUUAACUUUGCACUUUGCAGCAUAGUAUAUUAACAUACAAAUCCUAGAGAAUUAAGAUUUCCAACCCACACCCUCUAUCUAGUUUAAUGGAGAGGGAUAUCACAAGUAGUUUCUUCUUGUUGUUAUAUUAUUAUCCACAGAAUAUUACUGCAUGUAUCCUUAGUCAGAAAUUAUUUGACUGGCGGGGAUUGAUGCUAUUCUCAUUGUUUUGCUCUCUAAGAACUUGUUUACAGUCUCAAGUUAACCUUAUCAUAUUUAAUAGUAAUAGAGUUUGUUGGCAAAUGGCAACUUAGGCAGCUCCAUGGAUGGUGGAAUUUGUUGCCAGGUUGAUGCUCAUCCUGUUACAAAGUCCUCUCUAUCCCCAGGGGCAUCCUUUCUGCAGCUUCCUCCUCAUAGACCAGAUGUCUCGCGGAAACUACUCAAGCCAAGAGCAAUAAGCUUCUAAACAUCUCAGAGGUAUACACAGGGCGGUAAAUGAGGAGGAUAUAUGUGCCAUACAACAUGAAAAAGCCUUAUUUCCUAUUGGAUGCUUCCAUUAAUUCAGACAAUGCGUUUUAUUGAAGCUAGCUGAGCCGGAUGGAAUGGAACGAACUUCAUCGAAGAAUGUCGAGAGGGGCUUCCAUAUUCACAAUGCACCAUCUGAUGGAACCGCCACAUACACGUUAAUAUAAGCACAUAAACUGAUUAUGUUUAUUAAGUACUCCUAUGAUGCAGAUGUUUAAUGGAUGAUAAGUGGAGUUUAGCAUAUGGAGAAUGUUAAGUA